AGUUACAGUGAGCUAUGACCAUGUCACUGGCAUGCCAGCCUGGGCAACAGAGCAAAACCCUGUCUCUAAAAAUUAACCAAGUAAAAGAUCAUGUGGGUAGCAGUGGGUGUAGUGAGAAGUAUCAGGCAAUUGAAGCACAGAGUGGUAAUCUAAGCUAGGAGAACACAGGUGGAAUAGGUUUGGUGAGAAGGAGGAGCACAGGUGGAAUGGUUCUGAGGAGACAAUCAGCAGUUUUGUUUGGGAUAUGUGAAGUUUUUGGUGUCUUGUAGACCUCCUGGUGGAGUAGCUGUGUAGCAGGGGCCCAUGUAAGCCUGGAGUUCAGGAGAAAGCCUGGGCUGGAGGUAUACGUUGGGAAGUUGCUGACAGGUAGGUUUAUUUAAAAAAUGAAGUCAAAUGAAAUCACCGAAGGAGUGAGGGUAGGGAGAAAGAUAACUAUAUAUUGAGCGUGGAGGCACUCUCACUUAAGAAGAUGGGGAGAACAAGAGGAACCUGCAAAGGGGAAUGAAAAGGAGCGGAAUCAGGUGUCUUGACAGCCAAAGGAGGACGUGGUUGCCUCUGACAGACGGUGCCGACAGACAGGCCAAGUAAGAAGGAAGAUGGCAGAUAGAAGGCAGGACUAACUUGAAGCUCCAGCUUGGACAAACGGAGCAGCAUGUGGAGACUCGCAUCAUUAACUUUUGCUCCAGAACUACUGCAGGAAUAUACCAGGAAUGCCGAGCGAAUCCAUAGACCCUCUGAAGGAAGUGGAUUGCUCCUGCAGCACCUGGGAGACAGCCCAAAUACUGUGAGUGCCCAAGCUGUGACAGUGGGAAAGGGGAAUUGUCAUGCGCGUCCGUGUGAAGAGACCACCGAACAGGC
This is a non-coding RNA of Macaca mulatta (Rhesus monkey), 858 nucleotides long. The record is from RefSeq and is a predicted model, not a curated record. Lineage: Eukaryota; Metazoa; Chordata; Mammalia; Primates; Cercopithecidae.